Molecule: unclassified non-coding RNA, 207 nt
Filed under: soil metagenome
Description: partial contains 5.8S ribosomal RNA, internal transcribed spacer 2, and large subunit ribosomal RNA
Source: RNAcentral
AACAUCGCGCACCUGCGGGAACCUGCGGAAGGAUCAUUACCGAGUUUACAACUCCCAAACCCCUGUGAACAUACCUAUACGUUGCCUCGGCGGAUCAGCCCGCGCCCCGUAAAACGGGACGGCCCGCCCGAGGACCCCUAAACUCUGUUUUUAGUGGAACUUCUGAGUAAAACAAACAAAUAAAUCAAAACUUUUAGCAACGGAUCU